Molecule: unclassified non-coding RNA, 331 nt
Filed under: Acacia kauaiensis
Lineage: Eukaryota; Viridiplantae; Streptophyta; Magnoliopsida; Fabales; Fabaceae
Description: partial external transcribed spacer
Source: RNAcentral
GUCGGUCGUGCGAGGGUGGUAUGGUUCCCCCAGAGGCCGGUUCUUGUGCUGCCUACCCCUUCAGGGGAAUCGGGCCACUUGAUGUAAGCCUCCAUCCGGCGCCUUCCAACGGGCGCAGGAGGACAACAGGGCACCCCCCGCGUUCCACCGAUCCUCCUUGGUCGCGUGGCCCGCGGGGACGUGCGACGCUCUCGGACCCAGCGAACGCCGUGGGCGAGGACUCACGUCCCAGUCCCGAAAAGAAGCUCCGAUAUAAUGCAAGACGGCCGCUCCCGCCCCCCCGGGGGCGAGGCGCGGCGUCGCAGAGGAAUGCUACCUGGUUGAUCCUGCC